UACGUAGGGUGCGAGCGUUGUCCGGAAUUACUGGGCGUAAAGAGCUCGUAGGUGGUUUGUCGCGUUGUCCGUGAAAACUCACAGCUUAACUGUGGGCGUGCGGGCGAUACGGGCAGACUGGAGUACUGCAGGGGAGACUGGAAUUCCUGGUGUAGCGGUGGAAUGCGCAGAUAUCAGGAGGAACACCGGUGGCGAAGGCGGCACUCUGGGCCGGAACUGACGCUGAGGAGCGAAAGCGUGGGGAGCAAACAGG
This 253-nucleotide ribosomal RNA is filed under the name uncultured bacterium. Its description in RNAcentral is "partial 16S ribosomal RNA". It matches the Rfam family "Bacterial small subunit ribosomal RNA", at positions 524 to 776 of the family's 1533-position model. The record is from RNAcentral.